This 455-nucleotide unclassified non-coding RNA is filed under the name Hevea brasiliensis (rubber tree). Lineage: Eukaryota; Viridiplantae; Streptophyta; Magnoliopsida; Malpighiales; Euphorbiaceae. The record is from RNAcentral.
AGGACUUGAACUAUUCAAGAAAUAAUGGAAUAGGCAGGAACAAUAAGGGUGAAAACAAGAAAUCUUCUCAAUUUAAGUUGGUUGACCCGGAUGAGAUUAUUGAUCCGGCUACCCUAAAUUAUGGAUCAGCCUCUGAUAGAGACGAGGAUGAUGAAGCAUGUGAGAAUUCUGAUUCCUCAAGUGAUUCAUCUUUACAGCCAUAUGACUUGACGGAUGAUGAUACAGAUCUGCAAAAAAAAUUUACACAGUUGGUUGAUGUGGUUGGAGCCCUGCGGAAAUCUGAUGAUGCUGACGGGGUAGAGAGGGCUCUUGAUGUUGCUGAAAAGCUUGUGCGAGCUUCACCUGAUGAGCUUACUUAUGUGGUAGGUGAUCUUGCUAGAACCCUUGUACAGGUUCGUUGCUCUGAUUUGGCUGUAGAAGGUGAGGAAGAAUCAGUUGAAGAAAAGAGGCAAAGA